CCUACGGGAGGCAGCAGUAGGGAAUAUUGGACAAUGGGCGCAAGCCUGAUCCAGCCAUGCCGCGUGAGUGAAGAAGGCCCUCGGGUUGUAAAGCUCUUUUGUCCGGAAAGAAAAGCGCGGGGUUAAUACCCCCGUGUCCUGACGGUACCGGAAGAAUAAGCACCGGCUAACUUCG
This 175-nucleotide ribosomal RNA is filed under the name uncultured Thermomonas sp. RNAcentral describes it as "partial 16S ribosomal RNA". It matches the Rfam family "Bacterial small subunit ribosomal RNA", at positions 338 to 505 of the family's 1533-position model. Lineage: Bacteria; Pseudomonadati; Pseudomonadota; Gammaproteobacteria; Lysobacterales; Lysobacteraceae. The record is from RNAcentral.